Molecule: ribosomal RNA, 266 nt
Filed under: uncultured bacterium
Lineage: Bacteria
Description: partial 16S ribosomal RNA
Rfam family: Bacterial small subunit ribosomal RNA
Source: RNAcentral
GUCCACGCUGUAAACGAUGAGUGCUAGAUGUUGGAUGGGUCACCAUUCAGUGUCGAAGCUAACGCAUUAAGCACUCCGCCUGGGGAGUACGGUCGCAAGAUUAAAACUCAAAGGAAUUGACGGGGGGCCCGCACAAGCGGUGGAGUAUGUGGUUUAAUUCGAAGCAACGCGAAAAACCUUACCAGCCCUUGACAUAUGGAUUAAGAAGAUGAGAGAUCAUUUUUGCGGUUCGGCCGGAUCCAAUACAGGUGCUGCAUGGCUGUCGU